GAAUUCUGGUUUGAGAACAGAGAGCUUUCCCCAGAGCUUAGCCAGAGGACCCAAAGCAGCUAUAUGAGAAAGGAAAGUCCCACCAGGAGGGGUGAUUGAGGGGCCGACGGGAACUUAACAAUGCUGGUGCCCGACCUGCCAGACUCCCAGACUCUCCAGGGAAGGGUCUGUUGGGGCCAGUAAAGCUUGGCUCCCCGAUCCCAGAAACCUUCCUAUCACUCGUCUUGACUCGAAAGUUCCAGGAUUGGAGGU
Molecule: long non-coding RNA, 252 nt
Filed under: Vombatus ursinus (common wombat)
Lineage: Eukaryota; Metazoa; Chordata; Mammalia; Diprotodontia; Vombatidae
Description: lncRNA (ENSVURG00010023130.1)
Source: RNAcentral